RNAcentral lists this ribosomal RNA (253 nucleotides) under uncultured bacterium. Its description in RNAcentral is "partial 16S ribosomal RNA". It matches the Rfam family "Bacterial small subunit ribosomal RNA", at positions 524 to 776 of the family's 1533-position model. The record is from RNAcentral.
UACGAAGGGGGCUAGCGUUGCUCGGAAUCACUGGGCGUAAAGCGCACGUAGGCGGAUUGCUAAGUCAGGGGUGAAAUCCUGGAGCUCAACUCCAGAACUGCCCUUGAUACUGGUGAGCUUGAGUCCGGAAGAGGUGAGUGGAACUGCGAGUGUAGAGGUGAAAUUCGUAGAUAUUCGCAAGAACACCAGUGGCGAAGGCGGCUCACUGGUCCGGUACUGACGCUGAGGUGCGAAAGCGUGGGGAGCAAACAGG